This 253-nucleotide ribosomal RNA is filed under the name uncultured bacterium. RNAcentral describes it as "partial 16S ribosomal RNA". It matches the Rfam family "Bacterial small subunit ribosomal RNA", at positions 524 to 776 of the family's 1533-position model. The record is from RNAcentral.
UACGUAGGGGGCAAGCGUUGUCCGGAUUUAUUGGGCGGAAAGAGCGUGUAGGCGGCCAUACAGGUCCGUUGUGAAAACUGGAGGCUUAACCUCCAGACGUCGAUGGAAACCGUAUGGCUAGAGUCCGGAAGAGGAGAGUGGAAUUCCUGGUGUAGCGGUGAAAUGCGCAGAUAUCAGGAAGAACACCCGUGGCGAAGGCGGCUCUCUGGGACGGUACUGACGCUGAGACGCGAAAGCGUGGGGAGCGAACAGG